AGUGAACGCUGGCGGUAGGCCUAACACAUGCAAGUCGAACGGCAGCACAGUAAGAGCUUGCUCUUACGGGUGGCGAGUGGCGGACGGGUGAGGAAUACAUCGGAAUCUACUUUUUCGUGGGGGAUAACGUAGGGAAACUUACGCUAAUACCGCAUACGACCUACGGGUGAAAGCAGGGGAUCUUCGGACCUUGCGCGAUUGAAUGAGCCGAUGUCGGAUUAGCUAGUUGGCGGGGUAAAGGCCCACCAAGGCGACGAUCCGUAGCUGGUCUGAGAGGAUGAUCAGGCACACUGGAACUGAGACACGGUCCAGACUCCUACGGGAGGCAGCAGUGGGGAAUAUUGGACAAUGGACGCAAGCCUGAUCCAGCCCUACCGCGUGGGUGAAGAAGGCCUUCGGGUUGUAAAGCCCUUUUGUUGGGAAAGAAAAGCAGCAGGUUAAUACCCCGCUGUUCUGACGGUACCCAAAGAAUAAGCACCGGCUAACUUCGUG
Molecule: ribosomal RNA, 492 nt
Filed under: uncultured bacterium
Lineage: Bacteria
Description: partial 16S ribosomal RNA
Rfam family: Bacterial small subunit ribosomal RNA
Source: RNAcentral